GUCUUCUAGAGAAAAUAAUUAGAAGUCCAGCCUGCCCGGUGAGAAUUUAAACGGCCGCGGUAGCCUGACCGUGCUAAGGUAGCGUAAUCAUUUGCCCUUUAAUUGGGGGCUAGUAUGAAUGGCUAGACAAGAGUCCAGCUGUCUCAAAAAACCAAUGUAAAAUUAACCUUUAGGUGCAGAGGCCUAAAUUAAAGUAAAAGACAAGAAGACCCUAUCGAGCUUUAGUUUUAGAAGCAUCUAAAUUCUACUUCUAAAACUUUUAUUGGGGCAAUAUAGGAGCAAAGAAAGCCUCCUAAAACCCUAAAGAAAAACCUUUUUUAAAAUGAAACGUUAAAACUAUUUAAGACAUCAGCUACCGUAGGGAUAACAGACUAAUCUCCCUUGAGAGUUCACAUUGACAGGGAGGCUUGGCACCUCGAUGUUGGCUUAAGGUAACCAUUCAUUGAAGCAGUCCUCUAAUAUGGUAGGUUUGUUCAACCUUUAAUACCUUA
Molecule: ribosomal RNA, 491 nt
Filed under: Antillesoma antillarum
Lineage: Eukaryota; Metazoa; Annelida; Sipuncula; Phascolosomatiformes; Phascolosomatidae
Description: partial 16S ribosomal RNA
Rfam family: Bacterial large subunit ribosomal RNA
Source: RNAcentral